RNAcentral lists this ribosomal RNA (469 nucleotides) under uncultured bacterium. Its description in RNAcentral is "partial 16S ribosomal RNA". It matches the Rfam family "Bacterial small subunit ribosomal RNA", at positions 28 to 507 of the family's 1533-position model. The record is from RNAcentral.
GACGAACGCUGGCGGCGUGCUUAACACAUGCAAGUCGAACGGAAAGGCCCUGCUUGCAGGGUGCUCGAGUGGCGAACGGGUGAGUAACACGUGGGUGAUCUGCCCCUUACUUUGGGAUAAGCCUGGGAAACUGGGUCUAAUACUGGAUAGGACCAUGCUGUAGGUGGUGUGGUGGAAAGAUUAGUUUCGGUAAGGGAUGAGCUCGCGGCCUAUCAGCUUGUUGGUGGGGUAAUGGCCUACCAAGGCGUCGACGGGUAGCCGGCCGGAGAGGGUGGACGGCCACAUUGGGACUGAGAUACGGCCCAGACUCCUACGGGAGGCAGCAGUGGGGAAUAGUGCACAAUGGGCGCAAGCCUGAUGCAGCGACGCCGCGUGGGGGAUGACGGCCUUCGGGUUGUAAACUCCUUUCAGCCAUGACGAAGCCCUUGUGGUGACGGUAGUGGUAGAAGAAGCACCGGCUAACUACGUG